RNAcentral lists this ribosomal RNA (854 nucleotides) under uncultured bacterium. Its description in RNAcentral is "bacterial SSU rRNA". It matches the Rfam family "Bacterial small subunit ribosomal RNA", at positions 8 to 796 of the family's 1533-position model. The record is from RNAcentral.
AGAGUUUGAUCCUGGCUCAGAACGAACGCUGGCGGCGUGCCUAACACAUGCAAGUCGAACGGUUCCAUAAGGGGGACUGGGCGGCCGGGGACAAUUUGUGUCUUCGGAAGUCGAGUCCUCCUUAUGGGAUAGUGGCGCACGGGUGAGUAACACGUAGGCAACCUACCCCAAUGCGGGGGAUAACAUUCGGAAACGGAUGCUAAUACCGCGUAAGCCCACGGAGUCUUUGGAUUCUGCGGGAAAAGGGGGGGACCUUUUGGCCUUCUGUCGUCAGAUGAGUCUGCGUACCAUUAGCUAGUUGGUAGGGUAAUGGCCUACCAAGGCUACGAUGGUUAGCUGGUCUGAGAGGAUGAUCAGCCACACUGGAACUGAGACACGGUCCAGACUCCUACGGGAGGCAGCAGUGGGGAAUUUUGCGCAAUGGGCGAAAGCCUGACGCAGCAACGCCGCGUGAGUGAUGAAGGCUUUCGGGUCGUAAAGCUCUGUCGAGGGGAAAGAAGUGUAUUGCGGUUAAUACCCGCUUUACUUGACGGUACCCCUAAAGGAAGCACCGGCUAACUCCGUGCCAGCAGCCGCGGUAAUACGGGGGGUGCAAGCGUUGUUCGGAAUUAUUGGGCGUAAAGCGCGUGUAGGCGGUCUGAUUAGUCUGAUGUGAAAGCCCUGGGCUCAACCCAGGAAGUGCAUUGGAUACUGUCAGACUUGAAUACGGGAGAGGGUAGUGGAAUUCCUAGUGUAGGAGUGAAAUCCGUAGAUAUUAGGAGGAACACCGGUGGCGAAGGCGGCUACCUGGACCGAUAUUGACGCUGAGACGCGAAAGCGUGGGUAGCAAACAGGAUUAGAUACCCUGGUAGUCC